AUUGAACGCUGGCGGCAGGCCUAACACAUGCAAGUCGAACGAGUGGCGGACGGGUGAGUAAUGUCUGGGAAACUGCCCGAUGGAGGGGGAUAACUACUGGAAACGGUAGCUAAUACCGCAUACCAUCGGAUGUGCCCAGAUGGGAUUAGCUAGUAGGUGGGGUAACGGCUCACCUAGGCGACGAUCCCUAGCUGGUCUGAGAGGAUGACGAGCCGCUAUGGAGAUGAGACACGGUACAGACUACUACGGGAGGAAGCAGUGGGGAAUAUGGCACAAGGGGGGCAAGCGUGAUGCAGUCAUGCCGCGUGUAUGAAGAAGGCCGUCGGGUUGUAAAGUACUUUCAGCGAGGAGGCGUUACUCGCAGAAGAAGCACCGGCUAACUCAGUGCCAGCAGCAGCGGUAAUUC
RNAcentral lists this ribosomal RNA (406 nucleotides) under uncultured bacterium. RNAcentral's name for it is "partial 16S ribosomal RNA". It matches the Rfam family "Bacterial small subunit ribosomal RNA", at positions 29 to 526 of the family's 1533-position model. The record is from RNAcentral.